RNAcentral lists this ribosomal RNA (389 nucleotides) under uncultured bacterium. RNAcentral's name for it is "bacterial SSU rRNA". It matches the Rfam family "Bacterial small subunit ribosomal RNA", at positions 29 to 419 of the family's 1533-position model. The record is from RNAcentral.
AUUGAACGCUGGCGGAAUGCUUACACAUGCAAGUCGAGCGGCAGCGCGGGGGCAACCCUGGCGGCGGAGUGGCGAACGGGUGAGUAACAUAUCGGAACGUACCCAGUCGUGGGGGAUAACUAUCCGAAAGGAUAGCUAAUACCGCAUACGUCCUGAGGGAGAAAGCGGGGGAUCGCAAGACCUCGCGCGAUUGGAGCGGCCGAUAUCGGAUUAGCUAGUUGGUGGGGUAAAGGCUCACCAAGGCGACGAUCCGUAGCGGGUCUGAGAGGACGACCCGCCACACUGGAACUGAGACACGGUCCAGACUCCUACGGGAGGCAGCAGUGGGGAAUUUUGGACAAUGGGGGCAACCCUGAUCCAGCCAUUCCGCGUGAGUGAAGAAGGCCUGG